Molecule: ribosomal RNA, 621 nt
Filed under: Triticum aestivum (bread wheat)
Lineage: Eukaryota; Viridiplantae; Streptophyta; Magnoliopsida; Poales; Poaceae
Description: partial small subunit ribosomal RNA
Source: RNAcentral
AUGGCUCCCAAGGAGAGCAGCAAGCUAACCAUGAAGCUCUUGGUGGAGUCCAAGACCCAGCGCGUUCUGUACGCUGAGGCCGGCAAGGACGUCGUCAACUUCCUCUUCUCCCUCCUCACCUUGCCGGUGGGCACGGUUGUCAAGCUUCUCACCACGGAGACCAUGGUCGGCAGCGUCGGCAACCUGUACGGCAGCGUGGAGAAGCUCGACGACACCUACAUCGGCCGUGAGGACGCCAGGAAGGACCUGCUCACCCCUGCUGCUGGUUGGGUAUAUGGCACUACCUGUCAAAGUUGCGGCAAUGCGAUGACGUUGAAGCUGGUGGAGGUCGUGGAUCCGGCAGCUGCCUCCGUUGGUGGAGCGGCGUCUGCUGCUGCUACAGGCGCGGGGUUCGUGCAGGGGAUCGUGACGUACACGGUGAUGGACGACCUGAAGGUGUCGCCCAUGUCUUCCAUCUCGGGGAUCACCCUCCUCAACACGUUUGGGGUAACUGACAUCGGCUCGCUCCAGGAGAGGACGGUGCAGCUUGGCUAUGAUGAGGGAUUGGAGAUACUGAAGGCGUCUCUUCAGUCAAAGACGGUUCUCACUGCCGUAUUCCUUGCCAAGAAGCGGAAGGUGUAA